CUCUACAGCUAUGCCACCCUGAAGAAGCCCGAUUCCAUCUGAUCUCAGAAGCUAACGAGGGUCGGGCCUGGUUAAUACUUAAAUGAGAGACCACCUAGGAAGACCAGGUGCUGUAGGAG
This 119-nucleotide ribosomal RNA is filed under the name Pteropus alecto (black flying fox). Lineage: Eukaryota; Metazoa; Chordata; Mammalia; Chiroptera; Pteropodidae. The record is from RNAcentral.